CAACGUCAACACCCGGAACUCUAUUGCAGCCAAUGAGCUCGAGUUGAAAAAGAAAAUAGCUUACAGCACGUGGUUUCACUCAGAUCCAUGCCAUCGCCAGGGAGACCUUUACCUGUGAUGUCUGCGGGAAGAGCUUGGCCACUAAACCAUCGCUGGUCAGCCAUCAACAGCUACACCAGUACCCCAACAUCAUUUUGUACCGGCAAGGAGAGGCCAGGCUGUACUGUACAGAGGCAGCAAGGUCUGUGGCAGAGGCCCGCAGCAGCACUGUUGUUGACCCUAAAUGGCUGGAUCUCAAGACAGCAGAGGCGGCUGCCAAGAGGUCGGGGGCUGAGCUGUGGAAAGGUCAGCUGGUCAUCACGUUCGGGUAGUACGCCGGUCAGACCUUCAGGUGGCUUGUGGAGAAUGAUGUCGGCUGGCUGGUGUGGCUGCUGUUCCAGUACUGCCAGCAGGGAGAGCAGAACGAGCUGCUGAAGUGGCAGAAGGAGCGACUGCUCCUUCGGCCACAAGGUGACUCCUCACCUGAAAGUGCUGUCGGACGCACCGUUCCCGGAGGCUCCUGCGCUGCCAACAUCCCUCCCUCCGCCAGACCGGCCUCAGGUCCAGUACCGGCUCAUCUAUCACGAGGCUGGAAAGAGACGUGGUGAGAAGCGGAGAUUAUUUGUUGAUGAGCCACAGCCUGUGACUCCCGCGAACCGACCCGUUCAGCCCACUGGGUUGUCGUCCUCCACCCGGCCGAAGCCUGCUGCGCUCACCCCCAUUCUGCCGAGGCCUUCUGCGCCUACCCACCUCCAGCCGAGGCCACCCGCUGCGUUGACCUACGGCCCACCCCCUGUGUCGGCAGCACCCAUACUGCAGGUCUUCCCCGCACAGCCACAGGCGCCCUCCGUCCUGUUUCGUGGGACAUCCUGCAGCCAGAGCUUUGUCCCUCCUGCACCAACAGUCAAGGCAUUCAUGCCUAACAAGUCCUCAAGGCCAUGUGGGGCUUGCCACAUGCCAAACUGUGGUGGACAGUGGAAGAGGUACAACCCUUUCAAGGACAAAGUGGCUGGAAGCA
Molecule: long non-coding RNA, 1057 nt
Organism: Gadus morhua (Atlantic cod)
Lineage: Eukaryota; Metazoa; Chordata; Actinopteri; Gadiformes; Gadidae
Exons: 3
Source: RefSeq, a predicted model, not a curated record